This 497-nucleotide ribosomal RNA is filed under the name uncultured bacterium. Its description in RNAcentral is "partial 16S ribosomal RNA". It matches the Rfam family "Bacterial small subunit ribosomal RNA", at positions 28 to 507 of the family's 1533-position model. The record is from RNAcentral.
GAUGAACGCUGGCGGCGUGCCUAAUACAUGCAAGUCGAGCGAACAGACGAGGAGCUUGCUCCUCUGACGUUAGCGGCGGACGGGUGAGUAACACGUGGAUAACCUACCUAUAAGACUGGGAUAACUUCGGGAAACCGGAGCUAAUACCGGAUAAUAUAUUGAACCGCAUGGUUCAAUAGUGAAAGACGGUUUUGCUGUCACUUAUAGAUGGAUCCGCGCCGCAUUAGCUAGUUGGUAAGGUAACGGCUUACCAAGGCAACGAUGCGUAGCCGACCUGAGAGGGUGAUCGGCCACACUGGAACUGAGACACGGUCCAGACUCCUACGGGAGGCAGCAGUAGGGAAUCUUCCGCAAAGGGCGAAAGCCUGACGGAGCAACGCCGCGUGAGUGAUGAAGGUCUUCGGAACGUAAAACUCUGUUAUUAGGGAAGAACAAAUGUGUAAGUAACUAUGCACGUCUUGACGGUACCUAAUCAGAAAGCCACGGCUAACUACGUG